RNAcentral lists this unclassified non-coding RNA (349 nucleotides) under soil metagenome. Its description in RNAcentral is "partial contains 5.8S ribosomal RNA, internal transcribed spacer 2, and large subunit ribosomal RNA". The stretch from base 1 to 120 matches the Rfam family "5.8S ribosomal RNA", at positions 35 to 154 of the family's 154-position model. The record is from RNAcentral.
GAUGAAGAACGUAGCGAAAUGCGAAAAGUAAUGUGAAGUGCAGAAUUCAGUGAAUCAUCGAAUCUUUGAACGCACAUUGCGCCCGCCAGUAUUCUGGCGGGCAUGCCUGUCUGAGCGUCAUUUCAACCCUCACGCCCCUAGGGCGUGGUGUUGGGGAUCGGCCAGCGCCCUCGCGGGCGAGGCCGUCCCCUAAAUCUAGUGGCGGACCCGUCGUGGCCUCCCCUGCGAAGUAGUGAUAUUCCGCAUAGGAGAGCGACGAGCCCCUGCCGUUAAACCCCCAACUUUCUCAGGUUGACCUCAGAUCAGGUAGGAAUACCCGCUGAACUUAAGCAUAUCAAUAAGCGGAGGA